GAAUAUAUUUUUCAACACAGCAAUAUGUGAUUCUAAAGGUUAUGAAAAAGAAGGACAAUGUCCAGGAUGUUAUAUGAACCGAUGGAAAUGGAAGUCAAGCAAGCAAAUAUACCUGUUUAGUGAUGAUGAGACCACAGAAGAGAUCAUAAUGGAUAAUUUGACCAGAAAAAAGAAUACAAGUACAAUUUUUUAAAAAAAUGUAUAAUUUUUAUAAAAGCUUUAUAAUUCUAUUGUUGUACUGAAGUAGCAUGGCUGUCAUGUGAAAUUAUGUCCAUGAAAUUAGGUCUAGGCUGUCUAUUAAGUUCUGUUGAAAUGAAGUUUAUUAGAUGAAGAGUUUUGGUUUAGAAAGGCUAAAAAUGGGUACUGAUCCAUCUGUCAAUUGGUCAGAACAAACAGUUUAUUUCACACUUAUAUCUUCCUCCUAUGCUCAGAAAUUGGAAACAAAGUAAUUUUCUGUCUGGUGCCAUUUGAAUCUGAGCCUAUGUACUCUGUGCUGUGUGUACAGCUGACAUUGUUUUACCUUGUGUAAAUCAUUAAUCAUUGUCUGAAAUGA
This is a long non-coding RNA of Agelaius phoeniceus (red-winged blackbird), 553 nucleotides long. RefSeq lists it as uncharacterized. Lineage: Eukaryota; Metazoa; Chordata; Aves; Passeriformes; Icteridae. The record is from RefSeq and is a predicted model, not a curated record.